ACACAUGCAGUCGAGCGGAGAUGAGGUGCUUGCACCUUAUCUUAGCGGCGGACGGGUGAGUAAUGCUUAGGAAUCUGCCUAUUAGUGGGGGACAACAUUCCGAAAGGAAUGCUAAUACCGCAUACGCCCUACGGGGGAAAGCAGGGGAUCUUCGGACCUUGCGCUAAUAGAUGAGCCUAAGUCGGAUUAGCUAGUUGGUGGGGUAAAGGCCUACCAAGGCGACGAUCUGUAGCGGGUCUGAGAGGAUGAUCCGCCACACUGGGACUGAGACACGGCCCAGACUCCUACGGGAGGCAGCAGUGGGGAAUAUUGGACAAUGGGCGGAAGCCUGAUCCAGCCAUGCCGCGUGUGUGAAGAAGGCCUUUUGGUUGUAAAGCACUUUAAGCGAGGAGGAGGCUACUUAGAUUAAUACUCUAGGAUAGUGGACGUUACUCGCAGAAUAAGCACCGGCUAACUCUGUGCCAGCAGCCGCGGUAAUACAGAGGGUGCGAGCGUUAAUCGGAUUUACUGGGCGUAAAGCGUGCGUAGGCGGCUGAUUAAGUCGGAUGUGAAAUCCCUGAGCUUAACUUAGGAAUUGCAUUCGAUACUGGUCAGCUAGAGUAUGGGAGAGGAUGGUAGAAUUCCAGGUGUAGCGGUGAAAUGCGUAGAGAUCUGGAGGAAUACCGAUGGCGAAGCAGCCAUCUGGCCUAAUACUGACGCUGAGUACGAAAGCAUGGGGAGCAAACAGAUUAGAUACCCUGGUAGUCCAUGCGUAACGAUU
RNAcentral lists this ribosomal RNA (760 nucleotides) under Acinetobacter sp. RNAcentral describes it as "bacterial SSU rRNA". It matches the Rfam family "Bacterial small subunit ribosomal RNA", at positions 51 to 811 of the family's 1533-position model. Lineage: Bacteria; Pseudomonadati; Pseudomonadota; Gammaproteobacteria; Moraxellales; Moraxellaceae. The record is from RNAcentral.